GCCCUCUCAGGAUCACACCUGGAGGGUUUCCAGUACUCUACCAGUCUCGACUAUGGGAGGGAGUGUCAGGCAGAAGAAUGCCUAUUCCAUUCUAGCUUGGGCAGUGGCUAGCAAGUGGAAGGCAAUCUGUUAUAAGU
This is a small nucleolar RNA of Ornithorhynchus anatinus (platypus), 137 nucleotides long. The record is from RefSeq and is a predicted model, not a curated record. NCBI's taxonomy places the organism in Eukaryota, Metazoa, Chordata, Mammalia, Monotremata, Ornithorhynchidae.